UGGCCGUCGAGGAAAUAGCCAGAUUGAGAUAGAGUACCUCAUCGGGGUUGGUUUGGAGAGGAGCAUUAGGGUGUUGAGAUAACUCUGUAGUUUCUUGAAUGUAGGUUGACAUUUGCUCGUCCAAUAGAACCUGUGUGGUUGCCUCAAAUUUUUGAAAAAGGAAGGCUCCUCUCAACUAACGUCAUGACGAAUCUACUUAAUGCCGCUAUUCGUUAGACGAGGCAUUGUACCUCCUUAUUCUUUGGGAGCACCAUCUCCAAUAUGGCAUGGAUCUUCUCAAAAUUUGUUUCAAUUCCUCGUUGAGUCACAAUAAACCUGAAGAAUAUUUUGGGGAAGACUCUAAAUGCGUACUUGCUUGGAUUGAGCUUCAUGCAAUAUCUUCUCAACCGCCACCCCAAUAAAUCCCUAACCUCUCCCAAUCCCUAACCCCACUCUCCCCCUCCCCAGCAAAGCAUCCCAGCGAGCAGUGCUCGGCAAUGGCGGCCACUGAGGCAACGCUGGCGCCCGAGAAGCGCAUCCCAAAUCCGAAUCCCUUCUCCAAUUCCUCAACCGCACCGAGCUCCCCCUCCUCCUACGCCGCCGGGAACCCCACCCCUUCUUCUCCAAGUCGGAGCUGACAGUAUUGAAGGGGGUGCGCUCGGAGACGGCUCCGGCGUUCUGGCCGCUUAUGCGCCGGAUCUCGCGCCAUUAAUGUCCGAUGAGGUUCACGCCGUCUUCGGCUUUUCUUGACUUGGAUCUUGAGCUUGAUGAGCUCUCCAACCCCUCCAUCGGCUCUGUCUUCCUCCCCCUCGAGCAUUCCGGCAACACGCGUCGAGGACCGGCGCUUGGUGGAUCCGACCGCCGCGAUAAGAAGGCAGCGAAGAAGGAUGCCGUGCCCUCCUAGGUCUCAGGUUGGGUCUUGUGCCCCUUUUCCUUUUCCUUUUGUUUUUCCUGUUCUUGGAUCUGUUAUAGAUGAAGUUUUGCUUGAGAUCGGCUUAGCAUUGCUUUUAGGUUUUCAUGUAUGUUUCCUGCUGUUUGGCUGCCAAGAUAAGGGUUUGGAGAAAAGGGGGAUGAAUAGCCUCAUCAGCCUCACCUCCAAAGCCGAGAUCCACUACGAGGGCGUCCUCGUCUCCAUCAACCUCGAGGAGUCCACCAUUUUCCUCCGGAACGGAUUCAGUACCUCAUGGAUCCAAAUUUAUGAGUUUGAGAGACAGGAUCAGCAGAAGCAAAUAAUUUCUUUGCAGAACUAUCCAAUAGAAAAUGUGUAUACAUUUCAAAAAAUAUUUAUUUAUUUUUUUAAAAAAUAAUUAUAAUAAUAUUUCAAAAUGU
Non-coding RNA from Phoenix dactylifera (date palm), 1308 nucleotides. The record is from RefSeq and is a predicted model, not a curated record. NCBI's taxonomy places the organism in Eukaryota, Viridiplantae, Streptophyta, Magnoliopsida, Arecales, Arecaceae.